UACGAGGGGGGCAAGCGUUGUUCGGAAUUAUUGGGCGUAAAGGGCGCGUAGGCGGUGCGGUAAGUCACCUGUGAAAACUCUGGGCUCAACUCAGAGCCUGCAGGCGAAACUGCCGUGCUUGAGUGUGGGAGAGGUGCGUGGAAUUCCCGGUGUAGCGGUGAAAUGCGUAGAUAUCAGGAGGAACACCGGUGGCGAAGGCGGUUCUCUGGGCCUGUACUGACGCUGGAGGAACGAAAGCGUGGGGAGCGAACAGG
RNAcentral lists this ribosomal RNA (254 nucleotides) under uncultured bacterium. Its description in RNAcentral is "partial 16S ribosomal RNA". It matches the Rfam family "Bacterial small subunit ribosomal RNA", at positions 524 to 776 of the family's 1533-position model. The record is from RNAcentral.